Molecule: long non-coding RNA, 5071 nt
Filed under: Rhagoletis pomonella (apple maggot)
Lineage: Eukaryota; Metazoa; Arthropoda; Insecta; Diptera; Tephritidae
Description: uncharacterized LOC118747380
Source: RNAcentral
UUGCGCAGUUAAGAUCAGUUUCAUUUCGAUUAUCAAGCCUUCAACGUCAGCACAGAACAUACGGAUUGUGUCAUCGUGACAGGAUCGCUCAGAUCCUCGCGUUGGAUGGGCGUUUACAUUCGAUCGGUGUUCGCGAAUGAGCUUAUCCCAUCCGCGCUAACAACGGGAUUACACAAGCCGUGUUUAAAAUUACAACACCGAAAGUCAGAUUGACAGUAAUUGCAUAUAAAUAGAAAACAAUUUAAAUCGGAACGAAUAGUUUAGUCAAAACAUUGUUUUUAAACCACAAUCCAAAUCAAAUUCGCCGAAAAAAAUUAAAUACUCAACAUGAAGGAACAAUAUUUAAUAAUCUACAUGUGUUCUAAUGUGCUUAUUGCGUGAAAACUUUGUUUCAAGGAUCGUCGUUCAGCUUUAUGAAAACAUUGUGAGAAUAUAUAUAAAUCUAACAACAUAUAUUUACAUUUACAGAUAUCAUUUAAUCUCGCCCAUGAGCAACUCUCUAAAAAUUCAAUUACUUAAAGGACCCAUCUAUGGAAAAAAAUUAAGACUCACCAAAAAUCGGAUAUGAAGAAAUCUCACCAAAACUAUUCCAACAAUCAAACUCAAUAGUCUCAUAAAUGAGUGACAAUCUUGAGUUACAUUUUCCUCUAAAAGACUCAUUUGCCAUUGCAGCGAAAAACGUUCAUCUAUAUAAACAAUGGCGUGCUGUCGGAGAAAUGUAAAGGAGUAUUGGCGGAGGAGCAGCUAAAAGAUUAAGAAAGAUAAACCAUCCCUUCAACUUACAACUAUAACAACAAAGAUAACUACUACGAAAAGCUAAUUUCCCCAGCUAAGCACUCGCAGCAGGAGAAAGAUAAGAGCAUCACCCCUGCUUAACAUAUACAUACAUACCUCUUCCACCCCAUUCUUAAAUACAAGGCCACGUACAUAUGUAUGUAUGUGUGCGUGCCACACGCGGAGGGAUUCAUUCAUCAACAUCUGAAGCAUCAUUCAUACAUAAAUUCGCUCCUGCCUCUCUUAUGAAUGAGCUGACGGGUUUUGCACACAGAAGCACUUUCGAUAUUCAACGCUUAGAUUUUGGGCAAUUUUGGCUGUGACGAACUAAAUAUCAGUAAUUGAUUUUCGGCAAAUUUUAGAUCACUCAAAAUUCAUCGAUGAGAUCUACCGUUAAAAUUAUCGAAAACUCUGUUUGGCACAUAUCUUUUUGAGACAUAAUACAACAAAUAUUAUGAAGGAGCAACGCCAAAAUUCAAAAAAAAAACUCUAAAUAAUUUUAUGUAUCUUAAGCUCUUCAAAUUUUAUCAUGGAAUCAAAACUUACCAUACAUACGUAAUCAAAAUUUUACUAAAAUUAAAACAGUUCUAUAAUCUAUAAAUACAAUGUAAAUUCCAAAAAAAAAGCCAAAUUAUGAUACUCAAUUAAACGUUGUGCUCUCUUGCACACGACCAUAGCGGAAUUAAACAUGGACAAUAAGCAUUCAUGGUGGUCCAUAAAACACUGCUCUGGCUCUAAAGUAACUAAUUUUUUAUAUAUGUAUGUGUGUAUAAUCAUACAUUCAUAUACAUAAGUAGCAGCAUAAAUUAUUCUGUGCAAAGAACGGAAGUCGUUAUGCGGCAAACGCAAGAAAUUUCCAAUCCUGGCUGUGGCUACCGACAAAGCUCAUUUCGUCUCCCCGGAAAGACCAAUAAAAAAUACAUUUUGGCAAGCAACACAGCGCAGAAAACCCAAGACAAACCCAUCUUACAAACGACAGAGCAAAAAAUAUUACAUUUAAAGCAAAUCUCUAAAAAAAAUUCAAUUCAAUUCAAGCAGCCGACUUUUCUAUACUGUAAAAAACAACAAGUGGGUUGCGAAUGCGGCACUCCACUUACUAAACCCGUUGUGGGCGGUGAGAAAGUGUAAUUGCAGCAGCGCUGUUAGGACGCGUACACACAGCAAUGCCAAUCAAUAACACAGGCCUAGCAAACUGCCAUCCAUCAUAACAAGUGUAUUUAUGUGCAUACAUAGAUACAUACAUAUGUAACUAACGUCGUUCAUUCCAAUGCUUUUGACGAUGGCACAUCAAAAAUCUUAAGUGAUUUUUCCAAAUAAGAAUUAUCGAACCGAGUUGAAAAACUUAUUCAUGGCAAAUUCAAAUGCAUGCGGGCAACUUUCAUAUCAGUAAAUCUCAUAACCUUAUUAUUUUACUUUUCAAGGAAACUAGCAAAAAGUGUAUCAUUUCAUUACAUUCGGUUGACAGAAUGUUCAAAAUAAGAGAUGAAGCGAUGAAAUUCAAAUCAAAAUCAACUUCUGAAUUAGAUUCAAAGGGAAAACUAUAACUUUAUCCCUUUUCCAUCGUUGAUCGGCAUACCCACCCUAAAUGCUAUGCGAAUACCUAUGACGAGCCUUUAAAUUGUGGUAAAAUUUCUUGAAGAAGAUUUGAAAGUCUGGAUUAAUAUACGGUCAUAUGUUUUGCUGCAAGCAUACCCUCACACAUAUUAUGGUAUAUUUAUGGAUAUGUACCUACGUGAGCACAAGUCAAUAAAGCAACGAAAAAUAUCAACAUCAAAAACAAAUUGAACCUAGGCAAUUCCAUAGCGAUAGAAUCCAACGUGCGGUUGUGGCCAACGACCUAGCUGAAAACAUAUAUACAUACCUCUAUACAUAUUGUAUAUGUAUAUAUGUAUGUGCACCUCUUAACAAAUAAACAAAUCGAAACAAGCAACGCACGCAACAGAUUCACAUCAGCUACGUCAUGCAAGCAGCCAUACUCAGCCUUAACCACAUACAUACAUAUGUAUAAACUAUGUAUGUACUCGCAUGUAGAUCCGUGCAUCCCCACUUACAUAUGUAUGUACAUAUCUGUGAACAACAUUGACAGGAUCGAAAGUACUAUCGAGCAACGCUCCAACAACAACAAAAUGCCGUCUUUGACAUUUUAAGCAACAGAAGCGCUACAGUAUUUAAACUUUGCAUCAUAAAUUUAUGAACCAGCAGCAGUCGACGUAAUUGCUAUCAAUAAAAUAUAAACCCAAAAAAACGGCCAGACCCACACUAUGGCCAUGCGCAGUUCCGAGCCUGCCAACCUUUUUGCACACCACUAUCAUGAAAGUAUUCAAGACAACCAAACCACCCCAAUCACCGCCAACCGUACCAUUUGGCCAAGCUAAUGCCACGGUGCCUGGGUUAAGGCGGUCGCUGCAAAUGAAAUUACAACAUUUCUAUUGAACAUGGCAGACCAUAUCUAACGAAAGAAAAGCCAAGACCGCGGCAAUCACAAAAGGAUACUCGUACAAAGGUAAAAUUCUCAAGAAUAAUAGUAAAUCCUUUGGCACACUUGUAUGAAGUUAUCUGCAAUCAUGCUGGCAAGUAUUUAUAUAAAAAAUUUGAAUCGACGAGUACUAGCGCAACUUUUUCGGUAUCGCAUGGCUUUUAAACGUUUUUUUUUUAAAUCUAGCCGAACUAAAGAAAACUUGUUUCGGGAUCGAUUUCUUCAACCACAAGGUAGCAAAUGGUAUUUGGAAAAAAGUAUCUAAAUUAGUAUUACAAAUGUUAAAAAAAAUGUUUGCCCAAUAUUGACCUUGCGCCGCAUUAAAUUUGUGCACAUACAAACUUACUUAUGCUUUGAAAGAUUCAAUUUCUUUACAAUUUUCGCAGUAAUUUCCUAAAAUAAAUAUUUUGAAACAAGGGAAAGUGGAGUACUAACAAAACUAUGACUUUCAAUAGAAACCUUUUACCAUUUCGACAUUUUAUCAAUCAAGUCAUCAGUUUAUCAUUAUUAUGUGGCACUUUACAUUGUGUAUCACACAUCUACUGAUUUAUUUGGCAUCUUCCCACUCAACACUUUGGUUAGGAUCUGUCCAGAGAGAUUGCGUUGUGAAAUUAUAUUAGACGAUUGUGUGGUAAAGAGUCUGGGGGGAUACCCAGUGUAAUUGCUUAAAAUACGCAACAUAAAGGCACGUUAUGCCCAUGUGCUAGAAAGCAAAAUGUAAGCAAUGAAAAGGCAAAUCAGUUGGAAAAUUUUUGUGGUACCCAAAAUGAAAUAUUACAAAUCCAAUACCUAUAUUUAUAUUCACAGGCAUUCGCAAAAUUAAAGGAAUUUUUUUUAUUUUUGCUAUAAAUCCAAGAUUGAGGCUGCAUGCCUUGAUUCAGAUAAGAAAACACAAACAUACAUACUACAUAGAUAUAUACUUAACAUAUGUAUUUAAGUAAAAUAAAUCAAAACCACGCAAACUAUAAAAUUAAAUUGAAAAACUCUUAACAUAACUUUAAAUAUUUAUUGAUAAUAUUAUUGUCUAAAAGGUCAUAUCAAAGUGUUAGACAAAGACUAUUUCGAAUAUCGAAGAUAACGUAACUACACCUUGUAUCCCCUCGCUAUGAUACAAUGGGUCGUAUGAAUCAAAACUAAGCAAUUGCUUUUUUCUUAAAAUGUUUAAGCUUUUACUCGAUUUAUUUAAAAAAUGUAAGUGGUUAGACUGAAAUUUUAAGAAAAUGCAAUUAUUUAGUUUUUAUUCAUACAGCCCAAUGGAAUAAAAGCAAUCUUUUGAUUUUUUUCGUACAUGUUUGAUAAGAAACCAAAUUUGGAUGACAUUUUGAAUCAUUCAAAAGUCAAAGCAAAGCAUGCAGCCGAUUAGCAAAGCUCAUACGUAGCACUAAAGUACUGAAUGCAAAUCCUUUUGUCUAAAAUGUAGUCUCCUUGUCAAUUAAGCAUUUGCAAGCAUUUUAGACGAGACGAUUGUUGCAUUUAUGCAAAUAAGCCACAUUUUAUAAAAUGUAUACAAAAUUAUAUACAUAGAUAGAAGCAAUCGAUACAGUGUUUGUCAAUCUCUUUGGUGGACCUACAGAUCUAGGAACGCACACUCUAAUAUAAAAUUGUUUACUUUAUUCAAAUUUCUAAAACUAAAAACAAGAAAUUCAAAAUGUAAAAAGACUUAAGAUAAAUACAAACUAAGAAUUGUAAUCCUUGUAAAAUAUCAGUAAGUGAAUUGUAAUUAAAAGCACAGUACACAAACUAUAAUUUCAAUUAUAUAAUUACCGUUGAAAUUGUACAUGCCAAAUUGCUCCUAAUAAAAUAAACUUAUGUAAUCCCUAA